UGAGGAAUAUUGGUCAAUGGGCGAGAGCCUGAACCAGCCAAGUCGCGUGAGGGAAGACGGUCCUAUGGAUUGUAAACCUCUUUUGUCAGGGAGCAAGGAGCGCCACGAGUGGCGCUUCGGAGAGUACCUGAAGAAAAAGCAUCGGCUAACUCCGUGCCAGCAGCCGCGGUAAUACGGAGGAUGCGAGCGUUAUCCGGAUUUAUUGGGUUUAAAGGGUGCGUAGGCGGAAAGUUAAGUCAGCGGUAAAAUCGAGGGGCUCAACCCCUUCCGCCGUUGAACUGGUUUUCUUGAGUGGAAGAGAAGUAUGCGGAAUGCGUGGUGUAGCGGUGAAAUGCAUAGAUAUCACGCAGAACCCCGAUUGCGAAGGCAGCAUACCGGCUUCCAACUGACGCUGAAGCACGAAAGCGUGGGGAUCGAACAGGAUUAGAUACC
Molecule: ribosomal RNA, 432 nt
Filed under: uncultured bacterium
Lineage: Bacteria
Description: bacterial SSU rRNA
Rfam family: Bacterial small subunit ribosomal RNA
Source: RNAcentral